UGUCCUUAGAAAAUCCUUGCAAGACUGGAAAUACAGCUCUAGAGGCAGUUCAGAUUCCACCUAGUUCCUUUAUCACAGAAAGGAUUAUCAUCUCCCCUCUCCAGGAACUACUAUCUAGCCCAUCACUAAUUCCUAAGACUGAAGAAAAAAAAAAGAAAGAAAGAAAGAAAGAGGAGGGGAGAGGCAAAACGGCCAUAAGCGUGCCCUUGCAAAAAAUCUAGCAUCUUGAGUAUCUUCUCCACAAAUAUUGGUAAAAAACAAUAGCUGUAACAAUAGCUGUGCAGUCUCUUCUAAAAUUUUUUGACGGUGUUGUUUGCUCUUGACUGUCUCUGUUGUCACUUUGAAUGGAUGCCUGAGCAUUGUUUAACAGUGAGCGUUGUUUCCUAUUUGAACAAGUAUUUUAAAAACUUUUGAUAUUUUUGACAAGCUUCUCCCUCAAAAAAAUAUUCAAAUCCUGAAUGAAGGCUUUCUUUUGACCUGGUAGAUGGAAGAAGAAUUUCUCUGAGGAUUUUCAGAGGGCCCCUGAGACUUCUCAAAGAAAUUUGCUCUCUUCCUAUAAGGAGGAAAAUACUAAAUUAAUUAGGUUUAUUUGGUUUAUUAAAUUACAUGGGAAGCAUUGUCAAAUAAGUGAUGAUAAACUUUCUUAUGUGGUAUUACGUGGGUGAAUAUUGUUAAUAUACAUGUCUUAACAUUAUAUAGCAUUCCUAAAAUUCUAAUCUGUUCUGGUUAUCAGUCAUAAUUCCAGUUAUUAUCUUAAAGUGUUAUAUGUCACAGAAGUAGCCAAGUUUCUUUGUCAAUUGCCCUUUUGAGUCUUUUGUCCAUUUGCAGAUAGUUACUGUUUUACUCUGAUGCUUUUUGCUUUUGCAAAUAUGUUUCAUCUCCAGAGAAAUUCCUGGAAAGGAUUCUGACACAAGGGUUCUAAACUACAGGUUUCUGAUAAACUUUCAGAUUGUAAAACUGAACCGUGUAAGAAAUUACAGAAUUCUAACAGAAACUAAGCUCAUAGACCUGCUAACAGAAGAUUAAGCUCAAGAACUGAUUAUACAGGACUGUGUGAACUGAGGAGAAUGAUUAUAAUUUUUUAUGACUUCUGUUUUAAAUAUUGCUGAGUUUUGAUGUUUUGUUUUGUUUUCUCAUGUUUAAGGAAAUCUUUCUUUCUUUUCUCUUAUGCUAACUAUGACUUACAGCAAUUUAGUGAAAUACAUCUUUAUGAGCAAAACUGAAACAUUUGUCUUUUUCUCCCGACCUGAUCCCUCCAGAAUUUGGAAACUCUUUGUGAGUACGGUUAUUUCGUGGCAAUAUAGUUAUUUGCAUAAGUUCAAUAAGAAUUUGGUCCCCUUAUAACAGGACACAUUGGUUAUCUUACCAAGGCUUUGACUGGAAUGUCAUAUUUGAGAGAAAUAUACAGGCUCAGAUAUGACAACACAGCUUUUCAGGAACAAAGAUUGGACUUUCUGGAACUAAAGCCACUUGGAAAUAUGGGCCUGGUACCUUGUUUACAGAGGUUCUGGCAAUCUUACCCGGUAAGUAAGGAAGCUUGCUUGUCUGGCAGGUGCAAGGAACCUCAAAAUGUUUUGGGGGACCUCGAGAAGAGAGGAGUCCACCCAAAU
This is a long non-coding RNA of Equus caballus (horse), 1610 nucleotides long. NCBI's taxonomy places the organism in Eukaryota, Metazoa, Chordata, Mammalia, Perissodactyla, Equidae. The record is from Ensembl.